Molecule: ribosomal RNA, 331 nt
Filed under: uncultured eukaryote
Lineage: Eukaryota
Description: partial 18S ribosomal RNA
Rfam family: Eukaryotic small subunit ribosomal RNA
Source: RNAcentral
CCCUUAGAUGUUCUGGGCCGCACGCGCGCUACACUGUUCGACGCAGCGAGUCUUAACCUUGACCGAAAGGUUUGGGUAAUCUUCAGCAAAGUCGAACGUGAUGGGGAUCGAUCAUUGCAAUUAUUGAUCGUGAACGAGGAAUUCCUAGUAAGUGCAAGUCAUCAGCUUGCGCUGAUUACGUCCCUGCCCUUUGUACACACCGCCCGUCGCUACUACCGAGUGAAUGGUUUAGUGAGAUCUCUGGAUUGACGCUGGCUAGGGGGCGACCCUUGGCCAGGCUGUCGAGAAACUGCUCAAACUUGAUCAUUUAGAGGAAGUAAAAGUCGUAACA